UUUCCUUUACUCUUUUUAUCUCUCUUCAGCCGUUCUUUUCCCAUAACACCAUUCUUCUCAUCUUCUCCUUUCUUUUCUUUUUUUUCUUUUUUUUUUUUUUUCGAUCCUUUCACUGGUGGCCAUCGCAAUAACCUUAUACGUAUCUGCAUCAAGCGAUUUUAAAGAGUCAUCUACCGAAAAUUUCAGAUCAGAUAAGGAUGGAGGACUGUACAAUUCCAAAGCCGGAGAAGCAAGAAUCGCCGGAAAAGCUUAAAUUUUCAGCAACAACACACCAGAGGGUCCCCUACCUAAUUCAUUGUCAUCACUAUCUGGGCUCCAAGUUUUGGAUGCUUUGAGUAAUUGAUUCAUGGGUCCUAUUCCAGCAAACUUUGGAUGCCUUGUUUCGUUGAACAAGCUUGUUCUAAUCAAGAAUUCGUUCUCUAGAUCGAUCCCUUCAUGAAUUGGCUUACCUUAAAGAAAACCCCAUUCAUGAACCGUUGUUGCCACGGCCAACCUCCACCCACCGGCGAAUCGUUUCGGUGAAUCACAGUUCUUUUUUCCUUGCUGAUCCUUUUUUUAAUAAUCUUUUACAUUUUUAUUUUUAUCCAAAUAUUUAAUCUCUGAUACUAUUUUUUUCCUUCUCAGUUGCUCUGAAACUAUAAACCUUACCAGAAAAAUCAGACAAUGAGAUAAAGAGACGGGAGAGGGUGAAAAAAUAGCGUUAUUGGUUUUAUGUUUCCUUUUUCCUUUUUUCUUUUUUAGAGUAAGGAAACUUUAUUUUCUCCUUUUAUCUCUAAAGUUUCUUAAUCAAACAGGUGUAAAAGGAAAGGUCGUUAAUAUAUCGCAUUACAAAUAUAUAUACACGCACACACACAAAGAUGGAGGAAAACAGAGAUGUUGGUGGCGGUGGCCGUGGUGGCACCCAUGGUGGUUGGUGGUGGUGGCCCCAAACAGUUUUAAGAUUUAAUUUCUCUCUCUCUCUCUCUCUCUCUCUCUCUAUAUAUAUAUAUAUAUAUAUAUAUAAGGUACUUCAGUAAUUUACCAUAGAAAAUUAAGGACAUUUCAGUAAAUUAGCAAGAUUCGUGAGUGUAUUUAACGGUCCAUCACACAUAAGGUAGGUCCAUGCAAGAUAUUUUUAAACUUAGGGAAGGUCAAAGUAAUUUUCCAAAUAAGAGAGGAGGUCCCUGUAAUUAGGACAACUCAUAGGAGAGGUUUAUAUAAAUUAGUUUCUUGAGCUCUCCCAUCUUACAAAGUACCUAGUUCAUAAACCAGGUCAAAAAAAAUACUUGCAAAAAGUUUCUUCUCAACUAGGGAUACACAUAAGGAAACAAUUAUGGAACAUUCAAAUACCCAUAUGUAUAACAAGGGAAAGAGAGGCAGGAAAAACGUAUUCACACUACUCUACGAAAGAAAAUCUGUAGUGGAAGCACACAACUACCUAUGCAACCCUUUUGCUUCCUUGCAGGAGCAAAUUUGCAGCUCAUAGCCUGAAGAGUAUGAAUUUAUGUGUGCAUGAUUGACUGAUCGCAAAUAAAUGGUUAUUCUGCUUUACCAUAGACCAAAUGAAUUCUGGAUGAAGUGAAAGUGGAUGAUUGCACAACUUCCGAUCCGGGACAACAAGUGGACAACAUCAUAUAUGGCUAUUGAUGUCAUCAUGCAUCAGAGUAACACAUUUCUCAACUGGAUCCUUUUAUUCAUUUGGUGAGUAAACAUCAUGUUUUCUUAUCAUGUGGUAUUUUGUGAUGUUUGGAAGAAUAGAAACAACAGGACAACUCAAUUUAUAAUUUUAUGGAA
Cornus florida is the source of this 1773-nucleotide long non-coding RNA. RefSeq lists it as uncharacterized. The record is from RefSeq and is a predicted model, not a curated record. The transcript is spliced from 2 exons. NCBI's taxonomy places the organism in Eukaryota, Viridiplantae, Streptophyta, Magnoliopsida, Cornales, Cornaceae.